GACAAUUCUUCCACAGAAAAUCCACAAACAAAAGGCAAACAACGAAAAUGGAUGUAUAAACAAAUAGAAUGCCAAGUACACCCCAGUCUCCAAACUUUUCCAUACGACAAGAUUUUAAGGAGGAGGACAACAAAAGACGGUGUUGAGGAAGUCAAAGUUAAAUGGAAGCCUUGCUCAGGAUGUGGUAUGAAAUGGGCGGACACCUGGGAGCCAUACAGCCAUACAUUCGCAGAGUAAGGAUCCAUGUUCCAUGUUUAUGGGGUUGCAUUAAGGACCUGUUGCCUGGACCUGUUGCCUGUCCUUAAAACCCAU
Paramisgurnus dabryanus is the source of this 312-nucleotide long non-coding RNA. RefSeq lists it as uncharacterized. The record is from RefSeq and is a predicted model, not a curated record. NCBI's taxonomy places the organism in Eukaryota, Metazoa, Chordata, Actinopteri, Cypriniformes, Cobitidae.